This 425-nucleotide unclassified non-coding RNA is filed under the name soil metagenome. RNAcentral's name for it is "partial contains 5.8S ribosomal RNA, internal transcribed spacer 2, and large subunit ribosomal RNA". The stretch from base 1 to 120 matches the Rfam family "5.8S ribosomal RNA", at positions 35 to 154 of the family's 154-position model. The record is from RNAcentral.
GAUGAAGAACGCAGUGAAAUGCGAUAAGUAGUGUGAAUUGCAGAAUUCCGUGAAUCAUCGAAUCUUUGAACGCACAUUGCGCCUUCUGGUAUUCCGGAAGGCAUGCCUGUUCGAGAGUCAUUAACAACCGUUUCGAUCCCUUUCUUUCAGAAAUUACAAAGAGGAAAAGGGUUUGGUUAUGGUGGAGGAGGGAAAGGGAGCGUUUAGCCUGUAAAAAAAGAGGCUGUGUUCCGCCUCCCCCCCAAAAUUGUACAGGCGGUCGUGUGCGCCCACGCAUCGAGGUGUUGUAAAAGCUGCCACGGCACUUUUCACCUGUGCAGUGCGAGGCUGGCCAGCCGGUUUAAAGACCCCUCCAAACAAUCAAAGGUUGACCUCGGAUCAGGUAGGGAUACCCGCUGAAGUUAAGCAUAUCAAUAAGCGGAGGA